GACGAACGCUGGCGGCGUGCUUAACACAUGCAAGUCGAACGAGAAUCUACUGAAGGAGGAUUCGUCCAACGGAAGUAGAGGAAAGUGGCGGACGGGUGAGUAACGCGUGAGGAACCUGCCUUGAAGAGGGGACAACAGUUGGAACGACUGCUAAUACCGCAUGAAGCAUAGGGUCGCAUGAUUCUUAUGCCAAAGAUUUAUCGCUUCAAGAUGGCCUCGCGUCUGAUUAGCUAGUUGGCGGGGUAACGGCCCACCAAGGCGACGAUCAGUAGCCGGACUGAGAGGUUGAACGGCCACAUUGGGACUGAGACACGGCCCAGACUCCUACGGGAGGCAGCAGUGGGGAAUAUUGCACAAUGGGGGGAAACCCUGAUGCAGCGACGCCGCGUGGAGGAAGAAGGUCUUCGGAUUGUAAACUCCUGUUGUUGAGGAAGAUAAUGACGGUACUCAACAAGGAAGUGACGGCUAACUACGUGCCAGCAGCCGCGG
This 489-nucleotide ribosomal RNA is filed under the name uncultured bacterium. RNAcentral describes it as "bacterial SSU rRNA". It matches the Rfam family "Bacterial small subunit ribosomal RNA", at positions 28 to 520 of the family's 1533-position model. The record is from RNAcentral.